Molecule: ribosomal RNA, 255 nt
Filed under: uncultured bacterium
Lineage: Bacteria
Description: partial 16S ribosomal RNA
Rfam family: Bacterial small subunit ribosomal RNA
Source: RNAcentral
UACAGAGGGUGCGAGCGUUGUUCGGAAUUACUGGGCGUAAAGCGCGCGCAGGCGGCCCUUUAAGUCUACCCGUGAAAUGCCGGAGCUCAACUCCGUGCACGCCGGGGGAUACUGGAGGGCUGGAGACGAGUAGAGGCAAGCGGAAUUCCGGGUGUAGCGGUGGAAUGCGUAGAGAUCCGGAAGAACACCGGAGGCGAAGGCGGCUUGCUGGGCUUGGUCUGACGCUGAGGCGCGAAAGCGUGGGGAGCAAACAGG